This 413-nucleotide ribosomal RNA is filed under the name uncultured bacterium. RNAcentral describes it as "bacterial SSU rRNA". It matches the Rfam family "Bacterial small subunit ribosomal RNA", at positions 505 to 916 of the family's 1533-position model. The record is from RNAcentral.
GUGCCAGCCGCCGCGGUAAUACGUAGGUGGCGAGCGUUGUCCGGAAUUACUGGGCGUAAAGGGCGCGUAGGCGGCUAAUCAAGUCAGAUGUGAAAACCCUAGGCUUAACCUGGGGAUUGCAUUUGAAACUGAGUAGCUCGAGUGUCGGAGAGGAAAGCGGAAUUCCUAGUGUAGCGGUGAAAUGCGUAGAUAUUAGGAGGAACACCAGUGGCGAAGGCGGCUUUCUGGACGAUAACUGACGCUGAGGCGCGAAAGCGUGGGGAGCAAACAGGAUUAGAUACCCUGGUAGUCCACGCCGUAAACGAUGGAUACUAGGUGUGGGAGGUAUCGAACCCUUCCGUGCCGCAGUAAACGCAAUAAGUAUCCCGCCUGGGGAGUACGGCCGCAAGGUUGAAACUCAAAGAAAUUGACGG